GUGCUCGCUUCGGCAGCACAUAUACUAAAAUUGGAACGAUACAGAGAAGAUUAGCGUGGCCCCUGCGCAAGGAUGACUUGACUUUGUCAGGAACCAGAGAUUAAAGGUUU
This is a small nuclear RNA of Euleptes europaea (tarantolino), 110 nucleotides long. The record is from RefSeq and is a predicted model, not a curated record. NCBI's taxonomy places the organism in Eukaryota, Metazoa, Chordata, Lepidosauria, Squamata, Sphaerodactylidae.